Molecule: ribosomal RNA, 553 nt
Filed under: uncultured archaeon
Lineage: Archaea
Description: bacterial SSU rRNA
Rfam family: Archaeal small subunit ribosomal RNA
Source: RNAcentral
AUGGUGCUCAUGCUGGCUCUGAACCUGUUCCAAUAAGGGCGGUAAGUCUUGCCAGGGUUACUUCUGUGUGAAUGCUCCGUUUAAUGGGCAUCUGUUUGGCAUCUUUCUUAAUAUUAGGUGUAUGAAUAAUUGGGGUGGGUCUAUGUCUUGGUGUCAGUCCGCCUACGGUAAUAUCCAGCAGCCCCGAGUGUUCGGGACGAUUAUUGGGCCUAAAGCAGCCGUAGCCGGUUCUGCAAGUCUUCCGUUAAAUCCACCUGCUCAAUCAGAUUGGGCUGUCGGAGGAUAUUACAGGGCUAGGAGGCGGGAGAGGCAAGUCUGGUACUCAGUGGGUAUGGGGUAAUAAUCUUUUGAUCCAUCUGAAGACCACCAGUGGCGAAGUCGGCUUGCCAGAACGCGCUCGACGGUGAGGGAUGAAAGCUGGGGGAGCAAACCGGAUUAGAGACCCGGGUAGUCCCAGCUGUUUACGAUGCAGAGCUCGGUGAUGGGUUGGCUUCGAGCCAACACCAGUGCCGCAGGGAAGCCUGUUAAGUCUGCCUCCUGGGGAGUACGGUCG